GACUAAAAAAGAUCUGUUUUCUGUUGACAGUGGGCGCAUAUUAUUAUGGUCUUAGAGCGCUCAGUUAAACCAUCAGACCUAAAAAAGCUCCAGGAUGACUACUCGGUAGAUAUGGCCCGAGAGGGGAUUGAGGAGAGGCGUCGUGGCCUGAUGGUGAUUAAAAAGAGCAGCUUGCCGAGCAAAGCUGACAAAAGAAAAACCGCCAUCUUGAACUGGCAGAUUCUGGGAAUUGACUCUGUCAAAAAUAAACUUCAAGAGCAAGCAAAGCGUCAGCAGCAUCUCACAUCAGUGGCGACGUGAAUAACACCUGAAAAUCAAGUGAACACAUCGUGAACACCACGUGAACAACAAGGGGAUGUCACGUGAACGCACUGUAAUGAGGCCAACAAAAAAAAAACAGAUGAACAUGGACCAAUGAUAUUCAGUAGAAAUGAGCAAAAAACUCAAAAUGCAAAUGAUACUCAGUUUGCAGUUCAAAUGAACGAGGGACGUAUAGUUAGCGGGAUACCUCUUUAGGCAGAAUAAAUCACAGGAGUGUAAAAAUACAUUUCAUCCUAAACCGUUGCAAUUUCAAUUCAUUUACUAUAUUAUGUCUUACCUUUGUAGUAAGAAUACAAUAUCAAGCAAAUCAAUUAAUAGGACGUUUUCUAUGAAAGUAAGUCAAUUUUAUGAAAUUUAAGAAUGUAAUUUAUUGGAGGAUAGUAUCCUCAAUUUGUAGGAAUAUAAGUACUGGAGAUCAGUUUACCUGGAUAAGCAAACUGAUUAGAAGAAAUAUCACUUUUGUAAACAAGAGAUAACACAAUCAAAUAUUUCCUUAAUUCAGAAUUUGUACACUUGUAAUUGUUAUGGCAUUUGUAAGUUUUGUAAGGUCUUUGGUCGCAUUAGUAGGAACCAGUUGAACCGGUCAUGACCGGUUAUAGACCCAGCAGACUGUACAUAAACGUUAGUUUCCUUA
Orbicella faveolata is the source of this 955-nucleotide long non-coding RNA. Lineage: Eukaryota; Metazoa; Cnidaria; Anthozoa; Scleractinia; Merulinidae. The record is from RefSeq and is a predicted model, not a curated record.